This 7854-nucleotide long non-coding RNA is filed under the name Homo sapiens (human). Its description in RNAcentral is "HSALNT0018195". The record is from RNAcentral. Lineage: Eukaryota; Metazoa; Chordata; Mammalia; Primates; Hominidae.
CUAGAGAUACAAAAAUCAGCCAGUGUGGUGGCCCAGGCCUCUAAUCCCAGCUACUCGGGAGGCCCAGGCAGGAGACUUGCUUGAACCUGGGCGGCGGAGGUUGCAGUGAGCCGAGAUCGCACUGCUGCACUCCAGCCUGGGUGCCAGAGCAAGACUCUGUCUCAAUAAAAAAAAAAAAGAUAGUAGUUACAUUAUUUUCCCCAUUUUUAGACAAGGAAACUGAAGCAUAAAGAGCAUAAGUUGCUAGUGUCAUUCAGUGAGAAAGGCAUGGAGCUGGGAUUUGGCCCUAGGCAGUCAAACUCCAGACCGUAGGGCCUGUACUCUUAAUCAUACUCUCCCUCAUUACAGUAAGGAUAAGGAUGCUUCUGUUUUCUGUGGGAUGUGUUUUUUGUGUACUAUCAACAAUUUUUCCUCUGUAGGAAAUUGCCAGUGCUCUGGAUGCAAAUGGAUUUUUCCUUAGGAAUUCAGAGUUGCUGAGUUUUGCAUCAAGACUGAAAGAGGCCAAAAAGAGAAGCUGUGUGGUAAGCAGGGGCAGUUAACCAAUCCCUGGGGUACAUGUAAGCAUUUUGAAAAAGAUUAACUGUGAGUCAACAUUGCAGUAAAUUUAGUUAUAAAAUCAUGAUUAUGUAUGCAAAUAUGUGUCAACAGGUAGGACUGUGUGAUGACUCAUCCUACUCAAAAUUCUCUAGACUCGGUUUGUGCAAUAUUGGAUUCUACAAUGCUGAGCAAGGGAAGAAAAGUGUUUAAAGGAGAGCCACAAAUAAGAAUAUAUAGGUUGAAUAUAAACUUUAUAGAGCCUGAAUAGAUUGGAAUGGAAUAGAUGGAGGCUUCACACUCCUUCCCACAUGCAUUGUCCUAUGCAUCUCUUCAUCUGGUGUUCAUCGGUAUCCUUUGUAAUAUCCUUUAUAAUAAGCUAGUAAAUGUGAGUACAGUCAUGUGUCACUUAAUGAAGGAGAUACAUUUUGAGAACUGUGUUGUCACCAGGCGUGGUGGCUCUUGCCUGUAAUCUCAACACUUUGGCAGGCUGUGGUGAGAGACUUGCUUGAGCCCAGGAGUUUGAGACCAGCCUAGGCAAAAUAGUGAGACUCCAUCUCUAUAAUAAAUAAAUAAAAAUAAAAAAGACGAUUGCACUGUUAGGCAAUUUUGUUAUUGUGCAAACAUCUUAAGAGUGUCCUUCCACAUAGCUAGAGGGUAUAGCCUACUACACACAUAGGCUAUAUGGUAUAUCCUGUUGUCUAGGCUGCAAGCCUGUACAGCAUGUUCCUGUACUGAAUACUGUAGGGAAUUGUAACACAAUGGCAAGUGCAGUUAACAAUGGAACAACUAGAGGAUUAGGGGUUUGACACCCACACAGUCAAAAAUCCAUGUAUAACUUUUGACUUCCCCAAAACUUUACUAAUAGCCUCCUGCUAACUGGAAGACUUACCAGUAACAUAAACAGUUGAUUAACACAUUUAUUAUAUACUGUCUUCUUAUAAUAAAGCUAGAGAAAGUAAAAUAUUAAGAAAAUCCUAAGGAAAACAUAUUUACCGUACUGUACUGUAAUUAUCAAUACUGUAAAUUUAGGGUUAGUUAAAUGCCCCUCCAUUUCCAAAAUGAGUCAGCUGUCUGAAAUGGCAGGCAACUGCAGCUACAGACCUCAAUCAAAGUACUUAUCAAGCAAUUCAACUUUUUCUCGUAGUGUCAUUUUUUUCUCUGCUUCUUGGGAGCAUUUCUAGCAUCACUGGUGGCACUUUGUAUGGGGCUCAUGGUGUUAUUCAAGGUUUAGGGUAUUGCAUUAAACAUGAUGAAAAACGCGAGAAGUGUGAGAGAUCACUUUUUACUGCAAUACGCAAUUUACUAGAGCCAAGAACUGCUUGUGUGGAGAUGAUUAGCUCACAGGGUGUUUUAUGUGGAUACUCUCAACCCUUGAGUUCUGCUGUAAUAGCAACAGGAGGUGGUUACAAACUUAUUUCAGUGGAACAGUAGGUACUACAGUUAAUUUUACGCAGUUGUUUGUUUUAAUUAGUUAAUUAGACAAUUUUUGUUCUUUCCAUAGCUUUAGUGGUACAAGUGGUUUUUUGUUACAUGGAAGAAUUGUAUCCUGGUGAAAUCUGGACUUUUAGUAUAGCCAUCACCUGAAGAGCACACAUUGUACCCACUAGCUAAUUUUUCAUCAGUUACGGUUUAACAGUGCAUUUUUAGAUUUUUAAAUAUUUAUCUAGACUGCAAAUGGUACAAUGUAUGGUGUGUGUUUGUGUGUAUAGGUUUUGAUAAAUUUUAACUUUUUUAAAUAGAUUUAUGUAUGGUAGUAAAUGAUAGACUAGUAUCUACAUGUAUUUUAUGUACUCUUCACAUACCUUUAUUUUUUUUGAUAUUUCUAGUCUAUGAGGUUCAUCUGGUUUUUCAAAUUGUUGCAAAUCUCCAAAAAAUUUUCCAAUACAUUUAUUGAAAAAAAAUCCAUGUAUAAAUGGACCCACACAGUUCAAACCCAAGUUGUUCAAGGAUUGACUAUUUGUCUAUCUAAACAUACCUAAACAUAGAAAAGGUACAGUAAAAAUACAGUAUUAUAAUCUUAUGGGAUCACCAUUGUCUAUGCAGGCUGACAUUGAAAUGUCAUUAUGUACAGCAUGACUGUAUAGUGUUUCCGAGUUCUGUGAGCCUCUCUAGCAAACUAAUGGAGCUCAAGAAGGGGUUAUGGGAACCCUAACUUAUAGCUAGUUGGUUAGGACCCUUGGUCACCAUCUGGGGCUUCUGAUUGUCAUCUGAAGUGGGAGCCAUCUUGUGGCACUGAGCCUUCAACCUAUGGUAUCUGAUGCUAUCUCCAGGUAGUGUAAGAAGUGAAUUGAAUUAGAGGACACCCAGCUGGUGUCUGCUGCAAAAUUGCUUAUUUGCUUAAUGCGUGGGGAACCCCCCUCCACACACAUCUGGAGUCAGAAGGGUGUUGUGAGAUUAAAGUGGGAGAAACUGAAUUUGUUUAUUCCUAUAUUCAGAAUGGGGUCCUUGAGAACAUCAUAGUGGUAAGCAUAGAUGUUCUAAAGUCAGACUGCCUGGGUUCAUCUCUCUGCUCCACCACUUCGAGAGUUACUUUAGCUCACUGUGCUUCAGUUUCCUAUUAAGUUGGGAUAAUAAUACCAUCUCAUAGAGUAACUUAAGAAUUAAAUCAGUUAAUAUACAUAAAGCACUUGGAAGUGUUUGAAGCAUUAAUAAACACUCAAUAGCUAAUAAAAAAUAGAAAAGGGUGAGGAACAACUUAAUACAUAUUCAAAUAUAUAUUAUAGAUCUUUUCCAUAUUUGUUGUAGGGAAAAUAAGAGGAAGUGUAUUUAAGCUCUGAGAGAUCUGGAUUUUAUCAAAUUAAAAAAAAAGAGGGACUAGAUAAAACAUUUACCCAUUAAGAAACAUAAUUAACUACUCAGGGUGAAUAUUUCUAUAGAGGGCUGUAUAGCAUGCAGUAGAUUCUGUAAUUGAGUUUAGCCUAAGAAUGGUAUUCUCUAAAAGUGGGAAAACAAUCCCUAGAAAAUCAAGUUUGAUCUAGUACAUGGCCACCUACCACCUCACUUGCCCAAGAAACAUACUGAAAACUAAAGCUUGGUGUUCUAUUGAGGGAAUUACAGCAAAUUAACAAGUGCUGAUGUAUGUUAAAAUAGUACCCGAAGUUUUGACAACUAUCUUCCUGGUUUAGCCUAGAGAAACAGAAGCAAUGGGAAGAAAUCACAUUUGUAGUAGACCCAUGACCAGGACUCAGAUUUUAAAACUUAAAAUGUUUCCAUUACCUUGAAUUUCCCUUCGUUGGGUUUUUUAAAAAGCUAAAAUGAAAUGCCAUUAAUGACAUAGCAUGGCAUUACAUAUAGAAGGUCUUUAUAUAGUUGAAGAAGUAUUCAGUUGUCCUUUAACAUAUCAGCCCACUUCUUGGCCUGACCUCAGGACACAGCCCUACCACAACCCAAACUCCUGGUCCCUGUUAAAAGGGUGACCUAGGAAGCUAUGCUUUAUCAUAUAUUCUUCUCAGGAAUCCUUCAUACACUGAAUUGAGCCAUUAAUGUCAUCUUUUUGGCAUUUAAGUCACAAAGGGGAAGUUGCUAAUUGGGUAGCAGCAAUAGAGAGACAGAGGGAAUGGCUGCUGGUCUCCAAAUGAAAACAGUCUUCACAGUUCCUGUAUUUUCCUUUUCCUGGAGUCUGAGAUGUAUAUUCUUGCAAUCUUCACCCCAGCCCUCUUUUGCUCAUUUCCUGGUUGGACAGGGUUUUUAUUCUCUACAAUCAAUUUCUGACCAAAUAUGUGUGGCUCUACUUCAAACUAAAAGUCAACAUAUUGACAUGCAGAGAUAGGAAUUUAGUCUAUCACUUUAUGCUUAGUAUCUGGGGAGAAGAUAUAUGAGCUAAACAGAAGAAAGAGAAAUUUUCAGCACUUCUACAGUCAAUCAAAUCUGGUCAGUUCUAAUUCUCGAAUAUUUUUCUUAUCCAUCUUGUUCGUACAUCCAUAGCCAUCUUUUAUCUGAAUUAUAAUACCCUCUUAGGCAACAGAAAAAGAUGGAAGAAUACUUGCUAGCUAUUUUUAGAAAAUGCAAAUGCCAAAUAUCACUGUGGAAAGACCUCACAGCUUCCCAGUCUUUUCCCUUGAUAUUCCACCUUUCCCUUGAGGACCUGUAAUGAUCACUGUCUCUAUCAGAGAAGUGCAUUUCCCUUCCACGGCGUAGAUUGGUCCUCUUUGUUUUUCCUUAUUCAUAGCAUUGCUAAACCCAGAUGAGUUAUAUACAACUUUUAGAUAGGGCUUAGGCGUAAUGGGGGAUGGGGGUGGGGAAAGCAAAUAAAACACUAAGAUGCAACUUACCUAGCUAUAAUUAGGUAUGGCUUGCUCUUUUUAUUCAAUAAAUAUUUGAGCAUUCUGUGAUUGCCACGGUGCAUAUAUUGAUGACACAUCACUGCUUGCAAGAUGCAUGUGGUAGCAGGGGUAUGCUAAUGCUGCCACAGGGUAAUAAAGGAUAAAUCAGAGUGUGGAGCACCUCAGUCACUUUAAAAUGCGCAGGAAAGUCUGUGUUCUCUCCUUUUAUCUGGAAGAUUCACCAGUCAUUUGAGCCCUUUGAAGUGACUCAUUCAACCCCCAAAAUGGUUUGGCUGGACACUACCCAGUUUUGGAUAAAAGGACAGGAGCUGGCUUCAGCUAGCAGUUUGCAGAGGUUUUCUUUCAUCAGGGGUAUCAUUGGUUAUCUUGUAAUGCUUGCGAUGAAUUUUUCCAGCCUCUAAUUCACCCAACCCAGGAACUCCUCACGCUGCUGGGUUUUGUAACAAUAAAGGUCUUAUUGUUUAAGCUACCAAAAAAAGAAAAAGAAAAAAGAAAGAAAGAAAGAAAGAAAGAAAAAAAACAGGAGGCACCUAAAAUAGUAUCUGGGGGAAGGGAAUUAUGAAAGAUUUCACUGAAGUGCUGCCCUAAGAAAACGAAGACUUUAAGGACAAAUAAAAAUUAGCAGAACAUGAGAUUGGAGAAAGCGAGAGGGCAGGAAAUGAAGUAUUCCAAGAGUCUAAGAAUGUGCAAAAGACAAGUGAAUGAUGUGUUUAGGAAAUUGCAAGUAGUUCAUUAUGUCUGGGGUGUAGAGUACAAAGGGGUUCUUCUGUUUAUGCUCAGGUGACAGGAACUAGUUUCUCUACCACCCACAAGGGUCCUUAAACACACAAGGAAUUCUCAGAAUCCAGGCCAGAAAGAGGGCAUUCAAGGGAGGAAUUUCCUCCUUUUCCAGUCAAUGGCAGCCUUCUCAGCUUGGUUUUCCAGGCUCAGGAACCCCAUCUUUGGUGGUUAAUGCCAAUAAAAUCCUCUUCCUUAGGGAAAAACACUAUCCUCUUAUACCACAAAAUUUUACUACAUGAUCUUGAUAAGGACAAAAUAGCAGAAUAAUGCAUUAUCUUUACGUAUUUAAUGUAACUGCUUGUUUACACUGCCAAAAGAAAGGCUACUUUCCAUAAACUUGAGAUCAUAGGGAAACUGGAUAUUAUACUUUUAGCUUAGGCGUUAACUAAUGGUACAAAGUAUGUAAACCCCUAUCACUUCUAAAUGGCAGUUCACUGAAUGAAAAUCAGUUUACUUCCAAUUUUUGUUUUGAGGAUUAGAGGUUUAGAAAACAUCUUUAAAUAUUAAAAAGUCAUUAAAACAAGGGAAGCAAAUUAAGUUUCAAAUUAAGUUACUGUGGUUUUCCUGGGCCACUGUUGUCAGCCAGUUACAAUGUGCUCCAUUUCUCUAGACCCUAGCUCCUAUUCUGAAGCUGGUAUCUUACUUAAAUUUUCCUUUCUAGGCCAGGCUCCGCGGCUCAUGCCUGUAAUCCCAGCACUUUGGGAGGCCAAGGCAGGUGGAUCACCUGAGGUCAGGAGUUCAAGACCAGCCUGGCCAACAUGGUGAAACUCCGUCUCUACUAAAAAUACAAAAAAUUAGCCGGGCAUGGUGGUGUGAACCUGUAAUCCCAGCUACUCGGGAGGCUGAGGCAGAAGAAUCACUUGAACAUGGGAGGCGGAGGUUGCAGUGAGCCGAGAUUGCGCCACUGCACUCCAGCCUGGGCAAGAGUGAGAUUGUCUCAAAAAUAAAAAAAAUAAAAAAUAAAAAAAAUAAAAAAUAAAUUUUCCCUUCUAAAAGGAUCACAGUAACAUGAAUAGCAAAUAGAACAUUUUAGGCAGCAAUUAUCUAAAACGUGGAUGCUCUUGAGCAUGCAUUCUCAAUGGGGGUGAAAAUUGGUUCAUUGGGGACAAAAAAAAAUUCUAUUUUGUAUAAAGCAAAAAACAUUUACAGUCCAUAAACAGAUACAUAGUAUAUAUCUGGUGUUGAAAUAUCAUGGGGAAGGGGUGACUAAGAAAAAAAUCUAAAAAAGUUCUUCAGGGAGGUGAUAAAGAAAAGGUUAAGAAGCCAGGUGUAGUGACUUAUGCCUGUAAUCCCAGCUACUUAGGAGGCUUAGGCAGGAGGACUGCUUGAGGCCAAGAGUUCAAAAACAGCCUGGGCAAUAUAGCGAGAUCCCAUGUCUACUUAAAAAAAAAAAAAAGAAAAGCUGCUGUGGAGAUUCUUUUGCUAAGUCAGGAAUAUCUAACUUAACUGUAUUUUUAAAAACCCUAAGUGCCGAGAUAAAAUGGAAAGUUACGGCUAUUCCACUUCUAACCAAUGUACUUGCAAAUGGCUCCAGUUCUUUGAUUUUUUAUAAACCAAGAAAGUAAAUUUAUUUAAAUUACUAAAAUAGCUUUUAAAGUCAUUUACAGAUCAGCUGCUAUAAUUAUUUUUCCUGAAAGACAUAGGUAACAUAUUACUUUUAAAUUACUUGGGUCAAUGAAACAUUUAAUAAAAACAUUUGUUUCUCUAUAUAAUACGUAUGUAUAAAAUAAGCCUUUUCAAAAACUCUGGUUUUCAUAAUCCUCUAUAAAUCAGAUGAUCUGACUUCUAAGAGGAACAAAUUACAGUAAGGGGUAUACAUUUAUGAAUACUGGUAGUACUAGAGGAAAGACGUUAAACCACUCUACUACCACUUGUGGAACUCUCAAAGGGUAAAUGACAAAGCCAAUGACUGACUCUAAAAACAAUAUUUACAUUUAAUGGUUUGUAGACAAUAAAAAAACAAGGUGGAUAGAUCUAGAAUUGUAACAUUUUAAGAAAACCAUAGCAUUUGACAGAUGAGAAAGCUCAAUUAUAGAUGCAAAGUUAUAACUAAACUACUAUAGUAGUAAAGAAAUACAUUUCACACCCUUCAUAUAAAUUCACUAUCUUGGCUUGAGGCACUCCAUAAAAUGUAUCACGUGCAUAGUAAAUCUUUAUAUUUGCUAUGGCGUUGCACUAGAGGACUUGGACUGCAACAAGUGGAUGCGCGGAAAAUGAAUUUUUCUUCAACUUCCUUUAGGCCUAGACUUGUUCC